GGCCUACGGGAGGCAGCAGCUAAGAAUCUUCCGCAAUGGACGAAAGUCUGACGGAGCGACGCCGCGUGGGUGAUGAAGGCCGAGAGGUUGUAAAGCCCUUUUCUGCGUGAGGAAUAAGGCGAGGAGGCAAUGCCUUGCUGAUGACGGUAGCGCAGGAAUAAGCCCCGGCCAAUUACGUGCCAGCAGCCGCGGUAAUA
Molecule: ribosomal RNA, 197 nt
Filed under: uncultured spirochete
Lineage: Bacteria; Pseudomonadati; Spirochaetota; Spirochaetia; Spirochaetales
Description: partial 16S ribosomal RNA
Rfam family: Bacterial small subunit ribosomal RNA
Source: RNAcentral